Molecule: non-coding RNA, 1457 nt
Organism: Oryctolagus cuniculus (rabbit)
Lineage: Eukaryota; Metazoa; Chordata; Mammalia; Lagomorpha; Leporidae
Source: RefSeq, a predicted model, not a curated record
GUGUGUGGUUGUAUGUGAAUGUGGUUGUGUGUGGUUUGCGUGUGGUAUGUGUGUGCUUGUGUGUGGUUUUGUGUGAAUGUGGUUGUGUGUGAGUGCCAUUGUGUAAGUGUGGUUGUAUGUGUGUGGUGGUGUGUGAUGUGUGAAUGUGGUUUGUGGGUGGUUGUGUGUGUGGUUGUGUGUGUCGUUGUGUAAGUGUGGUUGUAUGUGUGUGGUGGUGUGUGAUGUGUGAAUGUGGUUUGUGGGUGGUUGUGUGUGUCGUUGUGUAAGUGUGGUUGUAUGUGUGGUGUGUGCGGUGUGUGAAUGUGGUUGUGUGUGUGUCGGGUGUGUGAGUGUCAUUGUGUACGUGCGGUUGUGUGUGUGUGGUGCUGUGUGUGUACCAGCUGUGACCGCGGCCGCUUCCGCUGGCCGGCACCCCUCUUUCCUGACUGUCCUUUCUCCAGAAGCAAACGAGGUGAAGCAGUUGUUUUUCCAGUUCAACAGCGGAGUGCUCUAAUGAAGUCGUCUUUAAAAGGGAAAGGAGGACGAUCCGCGUCUCCGCGGUUCAGGGCGGCCCGAGCCCUCCCCAGUUCAUCAAAACCGGAGCUCAAAUCCAGUCCCUGACCCCCUUCCCCACCUCUGCUGACAGGCAAGGCGCCCCAGAAACCCUCGUUUCAAGUCCCAGCUUCUCCCGGGGACCCCUGGCUUUCCUGCAGCCCGCUCUGCCCAGCCCUGCUCCCAGUCACCAAGGGGCUUGUCUGGCCACAGGAAGCCCCCUUCAGAAGCUUCUUCCGGUCCUGCCUCCUCCCAGGACACGCAGGCCCCCAGCCCUGCUGCCCCUCCCCACGGGUCCCCCGAGCCCCGCAGCUGCUCUGAGCUUUAUCUGUCUUCACUGACCCCGCUCAGCACAGUUCCGGCAGCUUCCGCCUGGCCCGUGUCUGUUCCCCAUCAAAGGCCCCACUGGAGCGCCAGGUCUUCAGCAGCACAGAUAACAGAGAUGGAUGGAGCAGGAAGCUCUGCGCUGGGGCUGGGCACCCUGCCCCCACCCUGUGCAGGUCGUCGGUCCUGGAGCAGCAGCUAACACCACCGUUCACCAAGCACCAAUUCCAUGCCAGACACCUCUCCUCUACGGUCUCGGAUUCUGGUCACAGCUCCUGUGGGGGAAGUUUUCUCACUAUGUUGCCAAACAGGCCACAGAGGGAGGGCCAGCACUGUCGCCUAGUGGGUUAAGCAUCCGCCUGCAGCGCCAGCAUCCCAUAUGGCUGCUCCACUUCCCAUCCAGCUCCCUGCUCAUGGCCUGGGAAAGCCCAAGUGCUUGGGUCCCUGCACCCCUGUGGGAGACCCGGAAGAAGCCCCUGGCUUCAGCCUCAGUCCUGGCUCACAUCUGGGGAGUGAACCAGUGGUUGGAAGACCUCUCUCUAUCUCUGUCUUACCCCUCUCUGUAACUCUGCCUCUCAAGUCAAUAAAUAAAUCUUACAAAA